UACGUAGGGGGCAAGCGUUGUCCGGAAUCAUUGGGCGUAAAGCGUCCGUAGGUGGCAAUGUAAGUCUGCUGUCAAAGCGUCUGGCUCAACCAGAUAAAGGCAGUGGAAACUACAUAGCUAGAGUAAGGUAGGGGUAGAGGGAAUUCCUGGUGUAGCGGUGAAAUGCGUAGAGAUCAGGAAGAACACCGGUGGCGAAAGCGCUCUGCUGGACCUUAACUGACGCUGAGGGACGAAAGCUAGGGGAGCGAAUGGG
This 253-nucleotide ribosomal RNA is filed under the name uncultured bacterium. RNAcentral describes it as "partial 16S ribosomal RNA". It matches the Rfam family "Bacterial small subunit ribosomal RNA", at positions 524 to 776 of the family's 1533-position model. The record is from RNAcentral.